This is a long non-coding RNA of Oreochromis niloticus (Nile tilapia), 4221 nucleotides long. RefSeq lists it as uncharacterized. The transcript has 5 exons. The record is from RefSeq and is a predicted model, not a curated record. Lineage: Eukaryota; Metazoa; Chordata; Actinopteri; Cichliformes; Cichlidae.
UCAGUUUUGAUCCCUACAGCCUUCAGCUAUGAGGAUUUGCCAGCUCACAUAAUAAAGUUAUGCUGGUCUCUGAAGAAGGUGCCUGAACCUGAAAGGAGCUGAAAUCAGCUGAUUGUAGUGCACAGGAAGAAAAAGCAGAGCGGGGCCUUAAAGAGACAGCAGCAUAGUGGGGCUUUUCACCUCGACAGCAGCCAUCUUUACCACAGCAAAGGCACCAGCUGGGGGAGGCGUGACUGCAUUUGACCGCUCCUGGCUCACACUCACGGAUUUUCCCAAAAUGCUCUUUUUCCUCCUCCUGAAAUAUUAAUUAUGAACAGUUAAAAUAGCUUUUAGAGCAGGCAGUUAACUUUUGUUGCACCUCCAAACAAUUAAGGUCAGAGUAAUUUCCUGCCCUUCAGUAGUUAUUGAUUGUUUUAGACUCAAUGUGUAUUUAUAGUUACAACACACUAACAUAUAACUCUGCAGCCACACACUGUCUGAAACCAGGAAGACUCUGGUGUCUAAACUGUGUGGGCUGACAAGUUCCAUGUUUGAAUGCAGAGCAGUUGAAAAAUUGAAUUUUUCAUAUGAAUGUUUAUUUAUUUCUUGCACCAUGUCAGUGUCUGUGUUAAUAGUAAAGGAGGGGGAAACAUGGAACAGCUGUAAUAGAUUGCAGACUUUGCUUUCAGCACACAACACCUGAAAUACUGAGGUUGAAAUUAUAUCUGACAGCUUUUUUGGAGACUAAUGGUUAUCUCAUUCUUCAGACCAAAGAGUGACAAGAACAUUACAAAAUCUAUUAGGAGAAGCACAAAAAGCCUCUUUUUGACCUGAGAAGAAUCAUGAAUACUCACCAAAGAAAGUUCUGAAUCCAUUGCCAACAGUCAGCAAAUACUCAUGCUGCAGUUUCUUGUAAAGCAUGAAAGUAGUACGUACAUUCUAUUGGUUGUUAUUUGAUGUAGUAACUCAUUAUUCAAUCACAUAUUGCUUAAGUGUCUGUGUAACUUGUUUUAUGAUUAUAAAAAUGGCUUCAAGAUGAAUCUCUGGUUCUAAUUCCAUAAUAUCUUAAUAAUUUACUUAGUUUUUCCACUGUACAUAUUUUUGAGGCAUUUGUAGAUGACAGGAAAUUAGGUUAGACAGAUAAGGAAUCAUAUCAUAUCAUAUCUCAGUCAGAUUUCAACCCAGGAUGUGGAUUAUGGUCAGCACUUUGAAAUCUGUGACUUAAGCUAUACGUAGCACUGAGUUUAAAAUUGAGAGAAACUAUAUUUUAUAAUGGAAAGAAAAUCGCAAAUGGCCAAUAAAAAGAAAAGCCCAGAUAUAGAAGCUUAUUUUGUGUUAUCUAACUGAUAGAAUUAUUAUUUUAAAAAAUGUACAUUCAGUAGUUUAUUGCCUUUAAUGACUACAAAAGCAAUGAACUGGUAGCAAGGAGGAAGACUUGUUUCAGAGAGUAGGCAGGCAGGUGUUCAGGACAGGUAAGCAGGCUGGUACACCAGCAAGUGAUUCCUGAGAGCAGGAAAAGAGGAAGCUAAGUGCAAAUGCUAAAGAAACAAAAUCACAAGUGAUCCUCUGCAUAUGUUUUUUAUAUUGCCAAGUGACACUACCAAUCAUAGUGGCAUAUCAUCUGGCAAUAGUGCUUUAUCUAAGGUUAGAAGUCACUGGAUUCAGACAGAGAUUUGUGUUUUUGGAAAAUCAGGUAAUGAAGAUUACAUUUUUAACCAUCAUGACCAUGUUUUGUUCAGAAAGUUGCUGUGAGCUACCUUGUACAGCGGUGUAGAACAAAUAGAUUAAAAUCUUUAGUUAUUAGGUAACUUGAUUGAUGAUCGUGUGAAUAUUAACAUGCCCAUAUUAUUUUACGUCUUUGGUUUUGUUUCUUUAAUUUAUGCAAAAAUAUUUGUGAUUAUUGUUUAAGGACUGUAAGUUGUGUGAGUAGGUUUUGUGGGUCAGCUGAAAAUAAACUGCCCUUUGGUGGGAUUGAUAAAGUUAUCUGAAUCUGAAUAGCUGGAACACUCCACCAGGGCUUUAAACUGUAAUAGAUUGGUGAAUGAUGAAAAGAACAGGUAUGGCCAGGCAGAAACCAGCAGAGCUGCCACUGAAACACAAAGGUCACGCUUAUACAAAUAGAGAGGAAGGACAGGAAACAAGGAAGAAAAAAUAGAGCACAGGUUGGCACAGGAGGACAGGGGAGACCAGAACAACCAGCACUUCCUAUAUGCAUUUGCCCGCCAUUUUUACAGGGAAAAGCAUUCCUGUUGUAAAUCCAGACCAUUGCAGUAUCUUUCCCAAUGUUUCUAUAAUAAGAUCAGAAAACUGACUGGAGCAGAAAGUGCACUAAGCGUAGGUGGGGGAGAAGGAUGCUUAGCCAGUGGUGCUCACACACGGAUAUGCACGUCCACACAUACAAAACCACAAACAAGAACUUCCAUAUGUUGAUGAAUUAUUCAUUUGGCAGUGCAGAAAUUCCAAAAAGAAAAAAAAAGGUGGGGGGAGUGUUUGGGGGAGUUUUAAGGAGAAAUAUGGGACAUUGCAAAAAAAAAAAUCAACCAACCAGGCACCUAAAAAGAUGACAUUAGAUGAAGUCCCAGCACAUUCUUCUUGGCUAAGAUAAGACAAAUAGAGACAUCAGAAAAUGGUCAAAAUUACAUCUUGUUGUAUAACUUCUUUUUGAUACUUGAUAAAUAUUAUGUGUACAUUCUAAGCUUUAACACCUUUAAAAAGUUAUCCAACUCUAGAAAGAAUAUUGUCCUUGAGAGCUUUUCUCCUUCAUACAGUGUAUGUGUCAUUGGUAUUGGAGAAGAAACGGGCUGGUGACUCUGCUGAUAAUGUGACCUCUGGAGAGAUAAAUGAAACUACCAUAUCACUCCAAAGAGGCCCAUGAUGGGAAAUGAUGGAGACAGAAAGGCAGAUAGAGGGUAUUUAUAUCUCUCAUUGUUCAAACAAAGUCAGUCAGCUGCUACUGUCAUUGUUCUGAAACAACAGGAUGACAGGAGAAGGCAAAGAGAGGGAGAGGAAGAGGGAGGUUGCAAGUUGUGGGAAGAAAGUGAAGAGAGAGAUCAAACAGCUGGAGGCAGAUUAGGUGCAACAGAGGAAAAGAAGAAAGGCAGAAAGGAAUUGAAGUGGAGUGAAAGAGGCCAAUUAAUUGGAACGCACAGUCAUAGUUGCUGUAAAUGUCUCUGGGUUAUGUGCUCAUAAAUUAUCAUACAUAUUGACUGUGUGUUCAUUCUCCAACAACCUCCACAAUCCUCUUUCACUGAGUUGUCUAUUUAGAUAGAGUCACAGAAUAGUUAAGCCUUCCUUGAGGCAGAUGUGUGAUGAGCGCUGUCCAGAGUGCUGAACCUUGCCAUUAUAUUUGCAGGAUAUUUGCCAUUAUAUACCACAGUGACUAACAUCAUUAACCUUUAUGGCAUUUAAAUACAGUGUUUGGAAGAUACUACAUCUAUUUUCUAAUAUGUGUUUCAAAUCCUCUUUUCUCUGGUUCCAACUGUUUCCAGGUAUGCAUAUUGUUGUGUAGCUGCUUAUAAGAGUUUCUCACUACCUUCAGGUGUUUUCUAUCAUUUCAAAACAUGGCCAUCAUGAGGAUGAGAUUUUGUCCACUUUAAUUUCCCCUUUUUUUGACCUUAAUUUUAUAACACUCACCACCCACUUCAGGCUUAAGGGGCCCAGAAGCAUCCCUUGUUCUAAGUUGUCAGGACAUUACACAACACACAAAUUGAGUGUGUAUCUUUGUGUGUGUGGAUCCCGCAAUUACCUGUAUCUCUUGGACUGUGCCAUCAUUACAGCUGAACCAUGCUGUAAACACCUGUCAUCUUAGUAUGGCUAUGUGUCCACUCAUUUGCCUCUCAGAAGCGUGUACUCGGGUGGGUUUUUCUCUGUAUGUUUCUGUUUAUAUCUGCAGGGUAUGUCUGUGCUUAGUGAGGCAGUGAUAAUGUUCAUCAGAGCAAGCAUGGCAUCCUGCCCAUUUCCAGCUGCAUGCUGUUUAAACUCUGCUGUGCACCUGGGAGUUGCACAGAAUAUCCAGACUGUAAGAAAGAAAUAAAGACAGAAAGAAAGAAGAAGAAAGGGGGAGAUGGAUAAUGGUCAGUGAAAGGAAUUGAUCUUUUGUCUUGUGGAGAAGAAAAAUUCAUGACUUUGCAGUGGGUCACUUCAAUAAUAAAGCCUUGUGGUCAAAGAAACCAUCCAUUACUUCCAACUCUAAUGGAAAAACUGGUGAGACCAGGUUUUCCUCAAGCAGAAAUAACCCUUUUG